UGGGGAAUUGUUCACAAUGGGCGCAAGCCUGAUGACGCAACGCCGCGUGGGGGAUGAAGGUCUUCGGAUCGUAAACCCCUGUCGAAUGGGACGAAAGACUCGCGAGUGAAUACUUCGCGAGAGUGACGGUACCGUUAAAGGAAGCCACGGCUAACUCUGUGCCAGCAGCCGCGGUAAUACAGAGGUGGCAAGCGUUGUUCGGAAUUACUGGGCGUAAAGGGCGCGUAGGCGGCCCUCUAAGUCAGACGUGAAAUCCCCCGGCUUAACCUGGGAACUGCGUCUGAUACUGGAGGGCUUGAGUAUGGGAGAGGGAUGUAGAAUUCCAGGUGUAGCGGUGAAAUGCGUAGAUAUCAAGAGGAACACCUGAGGUGAAGACGGGUUGCUGGGCUGACACUGACGCUGAGGCGCGAAAGCCAGGGGAGCAAACGGGAUUAGAUACCCCCGUAGUCCCUGAGCGGGCUGGCAAGGCGCAU
This 473-nucleotide ribosomal RNA is filed under the name uncultured bacterium. RNAcentral describes it as "bacterial SSU rRNA". It matches the Rfam family "Bacterial small subunit ribosomal RNA", at positions 355 to 825 of the family's 1533-position model. The record is from RNAcentral.